RNAcentral lists this ribosomal RNA (447 nucleotides) under uncultured bacterium. RNAcentral describes it as "bacterial SSU rRNA". It matches the Rfam family "Bacterial small subunit ribosomal RNA", at positions 331 to 795 of the family's 1533-position model. The record is from RNAcentral.
CCAGACUCCUACGGGAGGCAGCAGUGGGGGAUAUUGCACAAUGGGGGGAACCCUGAUGCAGCGACGCCGCGUGGGUGAAGGAGCACCUCGGUGCGUAAAGCCCUAUCGGCAGGGAAGAAACAGACGGUACCUGACUAAGAAGCCCCGGCUAACUACGUGCCAGCAGCCGCGGUAAUACGUAGGGGGCAAGCGUUAUCCGGAUUCACUGGGGGUAAAGGGAGCGUAGACGGCGACGCAAGUCUGGAGUGAAAACCCGGGGCCCAACCCCGGGAGUGCAUUGGAAACUGCCAGGCUGGAGUGUCGGAGGGGGAAGCGGAAUUCCUAGUGUAGCGGUGAAAUGCGUAGAUAUUAGGAGGAACACCAGUGGCGAAGGCGGCGUACUGGACGACUACUGACGCUGAGGCUCGAAAGCGUGGGGAGCAAACAGGAUUAGAUACCCGCGUACCU